Molecule: long non-coding RNA, 1059 nt
Organism: Girardinichthys multiradiatus
Lineage: Eukaryota; Metazoa; Chordata; Actinopteri; Cyprinodontiformes; Goodeidae
Exons: 3
Source: RefSeq, a predicted model, not a curated record
CUGGUGCCUAUCUCCAGCAGUCUAUGGGCGAGAGGCGGGGUACACCCUAGACAGGUUACCAGUCCAUCGCAGGGCAACUCAGUCCUUUGCAUGGCAACCCUGUCCAUCGCAGGGCAACCCAGUCCAUCACAGGGUGAAGGUUUUUGGACCAGAAUGGUGUCAGAGAUCUGCCUUAGGCUAUAUGUUGUUUUGUUUCCCUCACUGUUCAUGCCAUCACAACAUUUCCCGAGGGCAGGACUGAGCAGAGCGAACAGCGUAGUUGCCUGGCAGCGCAGCUGCACGUCUUUAGAACCUCAUCAGCUGGAGCUCAAAAGAAGCGGGAGGCUGAUCAGUCGAUGCCUAAGUGCCUGUCUAUGUGGUUGCCUGCCUGACAUGAACCGGAUUACUUCGGCCAAGAAUUGAAUCCCCGAAUCCUGAUAAACUGGUCAGAUCCAACCAUCUGGCUCCUCCCAAGGCUGGAAUCCGCUUAAGUCCUGGUUGCCCUCAGCCAACAAGCUUAAAAGGACUCCAAGUGCCCCGGCGAUCUCUGACUGAUUCCCUCCCGGCGGAACUCCGCACCAAAAUACAUGGCCGGAUAGGAAACUGGCAACAGUUUUAAAGAUGAAGUGCUGUCAACCAAAACUGGAAGCACCUGAUCAGAGUGAAUUAUAAGUUAUGAGAAGACUGAUCAACAAUGUGAAUAUUGAGUGUUUACAAUGUGUAACUGAUUAAUAUAAAGAACUGCCUGUAAUGUGGGAGUUCUGGGUUAUUAGUUUGCCAGUUCACUGGCUGUGACCAAUUCAAUUCAAUUCAAAUUCAAAAAUACUUUAUUAAUCCCAAAGGAAAAUUAAAUGUUGUUGUAGCUCAUUAUGUAGGUUUCUUCAAAGAGCCGUUGUAGAUGCUGCUGAAUUGAAUUGAACUGUUGCUGAUUAAAGUUUUGCCCUGUCUCUCUGACAUUGGGAUGGGCUAGAACUGACUGUGGACACGGUCAAGCAGAUAUGGAAAAUGAAUGAGUUAAAAAAGGAAAAAUCCCAGAGCAGUUAAGCACUCAAGGUUCCAUGAAGACAAACAAAAAAUAAC